AUGAUGGACUAUAGGACAGGACUGCUGCUUCUAACUAUCUGCUGGACAGGUGUUGAUGGUCAGACUCUGACAGAAUCUGAACCAUCGGUUAAAAAGCCUGGAGAAUCCCACAAACUGACUUGUACAGCUUCUGGAUUUAACUUUGGUGGCUCUUGGAUGGCUUGGAUCAGACAGCCUGCAGGGAAAGGACUGGAGUGGAUUGCAACUAUCAGAUACGACAGUGCUUACAUUUACUACUCUCAGUCAGUUCAAGGCCGGUUUACCAUCUCCAGAGACAACAGCAGAGAGCAGCUGUAUCUGCAGAUGAACAGUCUGAAGACUGAAGAUUCUGCUGUUUAUUAUUGUGCUCGACACUCACAGUGA
Non-coding RNA from Scomber scombrus (Atlantic mackerel), 363 nucleotides. The record is from the annotation of a RefSeq genome assembly. Lineage: Eukaryota; Metazoa; Chordata; Actinopteri; Scombriformes; Scombridae.